GAUGGAGCAGUCUGGUAGCUCGUCGGGCUCAUAACCCGAAGGUCGUCGGUUCAAAUCCGGCUCCCGCAACCA
RNAcentral lists this transfer RNA (72 nucleotides) under Pseudomonas fragi. Its description in RNAcentral is "tRNA-Met". It matches the Rfam family "tRNA". From Rfam's summary of the family: Transfer RNA (tRNA) molecules are approximately 80 nucleotides in length. Lineage: Bacteria; Pseudomonadati; Pseudomonadota; Gammaproteobacteria; Pseudomonadales; Pseudomonadaceae. The record is from RNAcentral.